AUGAGCCUAAAGUUUCCUGACAUGAUAAGAGCUCUUGUGUCCUUUUGCGAGAAAAUUCAAGACAAUAUACUUUACAUGGAUGUAUGUGCUCUUUUACAUAAUUCACAACUAUCAUCAUUCUUGGAGCAAGUGUACCGCUACCCAGAGGACGUUUCCCCUUUGUGUUCUAAUACUACAGAUCUACAUAUAUGUAGCCGGCCGGUAGCUUACGGUUUCACUAGUGCUCACAAAGCAAUUAUAUUUGCUCGGCGCGCCACCGUGUCCUCCUAUGACAGCACAGGCUCGCAGCAGGGAGCAGACGUGGCCCCAUGCUGCGCCACCCCGACGCUGGUCGCCGCCUUGGCAGCAUCCUUCGCCUGCUGCUUCCUCUCCGUCCUUGUCUUUCUCUGCCUGCGCUUCAUCCACCUUCGCCGCACGUGGACGCCGCGCCACAGCGCGCAGCCCCUGCAAGGUGAGGGACAGGCCCAGCAGCAGCCCAAGCUCGGCCUCGACGCCGCCACCAUCGCGCUCAUCCCGUCCUUCCCUUACCUGCGGGAGAGCUCGGACUGGGCGCCGGCCGAGUGCGCCGUGUGCCUCGGCGCCCUCGACGAAGGGGAGACGGUGAGGCAGCUCCCGGCCUGCAAACAUCCUGCCCUGCUGCUCUGUUUAUUUGGUCCACUAACAAGCCUCAAGUACCCGCCGUCGGCGGGCGCUAUUGCGCACCGCCUUGUCGCCCCCUUCCCCACCGUCGUUGCUAGCCACCACCCCGGACAUACCUCUAAGCCCGGCACCAUCCAUGAAAACCUCCGGUGA
RNAcentral lists this ribosomal RNA (792 nucleotides) under Triticum aestivum (bread wheat). Its description in RNAcentral is "partial small subunit ribosomal RNA". The record is from RNAcentral. Lineage: Eukaryota; Viridiplantae; Streptophyta; Magnoliopsida; Poales; Poaceae.